RNAcentral lists this non-coding RNA (23 nucleotides) under Arabidopsis thaliana (thale cress). The record is from RNAcentral. Lineage: Eukaryota; Viridiplantae; Streptophyta; Magnoliopsida; Brassicales; Brassicaceae.
AAUUAUUGUUUUUUUCAGCAAUA